Molecule: long non-coding RNA, 654 nt
Organism: Neopsephotus bourkii (Bourke's parrot)
Lineage: Eukaryota; Metazoa; Chordata; Aves; Psittaciformes; Psittacidae
Exons: 3
Source: RefSeq, a predicted model, not a curated record
ACAGGUUGGUGCCCUUUUGCUUAUCCUUGAUUUUCUUGUUGUCUGCUCCAUAACACAGCUGAAAGAAAGAAAUAGAAGCAGGUGAAAGGAAUAAGUGGUUGAUUUUAACCACGUGCUUGAUAUUCUCUCCUUACCUUCUUGUUGCCCUCUUCCUCCAGAGCUAUAAAUCAGGUGUAGAAUAUUAGUACUCUUGCCAUUUUCUUGUGACUUUAGCCGAACUGCUGCAUGACCUGCUGUUUUGCUGAAAGCUUGGGUUUCUGGACUCAAAUGACUAGGUAUAAAUACAGGAGGGAAAUUCAUGCUUGACGAGAGUCGUGUGAUAUUAUUACUCCACUAUGGGAUAUACUCUGUGUUUCCAGAAGGGAGGUUCCUAUUUUGUCCAAUAUGCUUUUCCUUCACUUGAAUUGACCAGAGUCUAUCAAAGUAAUGAUCAAAUUCCCUCCUCAGUUAGCGCUGUCCUAUGCAGUGUACUUUAUCCUCAAUGGACAGAGAGAAAGGCAUGAAGUAUGGGGUACCUUCAGACAAAUCUAAAAAGAGCUGUGCAGCAGGAUCCUAAGGGGGAGAGGGACAGUAUUCACAGCAGGUCUCCAUUCAAGUUAAGAGAGUGUGCACUGGAUCUCCCACUCACCUGCAGCUUCCCAACCAGAGGAUAGG